Molecule: ribosomal RNA, 489 nt
Filed under: Triticum aestivum (bread wheat)
Lineage: Eukaryota; Viridiplantae; Streptophyta; Magnoliopsida; Poales; Poaceae
Description: partial small subunit ribosomal RNA
Source: RNAcentral
AUGGGGCCUCUCCUCAGAUGUGCUCACAAUCUCAUGCCGCAUACUAUAUUUCGGGCAUCUGACCACAUUGCAACUACAUAUGCUGAGCUCAGAGAUGGUACUGCAAAUGCAAAGUCUGGUGGAGGUACCCUUCCAAUUACUGCCAGGAAACUGGAAACAAUAAUUCGUCUAUCUACUGCCCAUGCAAAGAUGAAACUGAGACACGAGGUUCUGAAAACUGAUGUCGAGGCUGCACUGCAAGUUCUGAUUUUUGCAAUAUUCCGCAAGGAAUUGACUGGCAUGGAAGACCGUGAGCAGAGGGAGACUGAGAAACAACAAGCUGAACAAGAUGCAGGUGCAGGUGGUGAUAAUGUAGAUAGGCCUGGAGGAGCAAGUGGUGGCUAUGCAGACGGGUAUGGAAGAUCUGGCAACGACCCAAUGGAUGUGGAUGUAGGCUCAGGCAAUGCAUCAAAUGAUCAGGAUGUUUCUUCAGAGAAUGGAAGCAUUUGA